GACGCGGGGAUGUGCGUCCAGAAACAUUUCGUCUAUUUCCAGACCCAACCCGACAUCUACGGCGGGGCUGUCCUCGGCUGCGCCUGUCCUAAAAUGGCGCGGUAUGGAGUCCGAGUCGCCAUCUUUCCUACUGGCUUUGGAGUCCUUUGGUAGCGAGUUUUCCUGGGAAAUUUCCUCGGUCCUGAGCGGUUCUGCUUCUUCUUCUUCGGCGGGAACGUCCGGACUGCUGAACGAACUUGUGGAAAAACAGGACCAAGAACAGAGAGAUCGCACUUUUCUUCAUGUGGAGCCCAGGAGGGGAAUGCUGGAGAUUCUGCUGAAUGAGGAACUGACCUUCAAAUGGAGACGCUGACAAUCUGGAGGAUCUGAUUAGCACCUUCAAAGCUCAAAUAAUACUUGAACUACGACCCCAAACCCCAGAGGAGUUGAAAAAGAAAUUCAAACCACUUCAUCCACCCAUCACAACGGGUCAGGAUCGUAUCCCAGACUUCAUCUCUCUAACCUGACAGAUUUAACGAGGCGCAGCA
This is a long non-coding RNA of Xiphophorus maculatus (southern platyfish), 527 nucleotides long. RefSeq lists it as uncharacterized. NCBI's taxonomy places the organism in Eukaryota, Metazoa, Chordata, Actinopteri, Cyprinodontiformes, Poeciliidae. The transcript is spliced from 3 exons. The record is from RefSeq and is a predicted model, not a curated record.